AUUGAACGCUGGCGGCAUGCCUUACACAUGCAAGUCGAACGGCAGCACGGGAGCAAUCCUGGUGGCGAGUGGCGAACGGGUGAGUAAUAUAUCGGAACGUGCCCAGUAGUGGGGGAUAACUGCUCGAAAGAGCAGCUAAUACCGCAUACGACCUGAGGGUGAAAGGGGGGGGUCGCAAGACCUCUCGCUAUUGGAGCGGCCGAUAUCAGAUUAGCUAGUUGGUGGGGUAAAGGCCUACCAAGGCAACGAUCUGUAGUUGGUCUGAGAGGACGACCAGCCACACUGGGACUGAGACACGGCCCAGACUCCUACGGGAGGCAGCAGUGGGGAAUUUUGGACAAUGGGCGCAAGCCUGAUCCAGCAAUGCCGCGUGCAGGAAGAAGGCCUUCGGGUUGGUAAAC
This 401-nucleotide ribosomal RNA is filed under the name uncultured bacterium. Its description in RNAcentral is "bacterial SSU rRNA". It matches the Rfam family "Bacterial small subunit ribosomal RNA", at positions 30 to 430 of the family's 1533-position model. The record is from RNAcentral.